Molecule: long non-coding RNA, 244 nt
Filed under: Capsella rubella
Lineage: Eukaryota; Viridiplantae; Streptophyta; Magnoliopsida; Brassicales; Brassicaceae
Description: long non-coding RNA (CRUB_LNC002887)
Source: RNAcentral
UUUUAUGUUUAGUACCGCAUUUGGGCUGUGAGAUAAUGACACGACUUUUCUAUCUAAAUAUUAGUAUUAUUUUAAAUCUCUUUGCAGAUAAUAUUAAGAAAACAUAUAUUUCAAUAAAUUAAUAAUGGUUUUAUACUAUUUCGUAACAUAAGAGUGUUUUCAUUUUCACAAAAAAAAAAAAAAGAAAAAAGAACCAACUCAUGGUGAUUUUUGUUGUUGAAUGAUUUAUUGAUUCAUCAUUGUC